This 253-nucleotide ribosomal RNA is filed under the name uncultured bacterium. RNAcentral's name for it is "partial 16S ribosomal RNA". It matches the Rfam family "Bacterial small subunit ribosomal RNA", at positions 524 to 776 of the family's 1533-position model. The record is from RNAcentral.
GACAGAGGGUGCAAACGUUGUUCGGAAUUACUGGGCGUAAAGAGCGUGUAGGCGGCUUUACAGGUCCGUUGUGAAAACUCGAGGCUCAACCUCGAGACGCCGGUGGAAACCGUAAAGCUAGAGUCCGGAAGAGGAGAGUGGAAUUCCUGGUGUAGCGGUGAAAUGCGUAGAUAUCAAGAGGAACACCAGUGGCGAAGGCGAGUCCCUGGACAACACCUGACACUGAGGCACGAAAGCUAGGGGAGCAAACGGG